AUUGAACGCUGGCGGCAUGCUUUACACAUGCAAGUCGAACGGCAGCGCGGGCUUCGGCCUGGCGGCGAGUGGCGAACGGGUGAGUAAUGCAUCGGAACGUGCCCAGUAGUGGGGGAUAGCCCGGCGAAAGCCGGAUUAAUACCGCAUACGACCUGAGGGUGAAAGCGGGGGACGGAAAGGCCUCGCGCUAUUGGAGCGGCGGAUGUCGGAUUAGCUAGUUGGUGGGGUAAAGGCUUACCAAGGCGACGAUCCGUAGCUGGUCUGAGAGGACGACCAGCCACACUGGGACUGAGACACGGCCCAGACUCCUACGGGAGGCAGCAGUGGGGAAUUUUGGACAAUGGGGGCAACCCUGAUCCAGCCAUGCCGCGUGCGGGAAGAAGGCCUUCGGGUUGUAAACCGCUUUUGUUCGGGAAGAAAUCCUCUGGGCUAAUACCCCGGGGGGAUGACGGUACCGGAAGAAUAAGCACCGGCUAACUACGUG
This 484-nucleotide ribosomal RNA is filed under the name uncultured bacterium. RNAcentral's name for it is "partial 16S ribosomal RNA". It matches the Rfam family "Bacterial small subunit ribosomal RNA", at positions 28 to 507 of the family's 1533-position model. The record is from RNAcentral.